GGGAUACAUUUUAAGGGAAGGGGAGUUUAAAAAAGUGAAUGCUUUUAUUCUAAGUAUACCUUUUAUUCUAUAUUCUGUAUUACCUUUUGGAGAACGUUACAUCACUCAGAAAAAUAAAGUAACUCCCAAUAUGUAUCUAUUUAGGAUUAAUAUUUUUAAAUAGUUUUGGUUUGAAAAUGUAUUCAUUCACUCAAAAGUAGGUACAGCUUUAGACCUAGACUUUGAGUUGUCCGUUUGUGAUGGUCUUUUAAAUUGUGGUUUUAAUAAGGAGAAAGACGUGUGACAGUGUCCUGUGACUGCUGCUGUCCACGUUUAUGAAAACAGUAUGUCCUCAGAGUGAUGUGGGGUUGGUGAGAAGUUCUUCUGAUUCUGCGGCCUCAGUGAGUUUAAGAGAAGUUUCUUAUGUAGUCUUAGCUUUUCCGUACCAGCUUUCUUUCAUCAACCUUUCCUAACAAUAAAGAAGAAGAAAAUAGCAACAGUUUUAUUUCCCCUGGUUUACCUUUCUUAUUUCUGUGACUACAUGACACCAAAGUAACUGGUUGGGAAACCAAUUCAGAUGACCAGUUGCUAGUUUUCACAACUUCUGAUCAAACUCUCAGUUGGACUGACAUUUAUUACCAGUGAAAAGACUGAAUAUUUGGAUUCCUGUGGAGUCAGCCUUUGUCUCUUCCCAUUUUCCACAGUUCUCCAAUUUUUCCCUCUUACUACCCAGUUUCCUCCAAUUGUUUCCUACUGCGUUUAGGGGAAUUUCUUCCUUAUGGUUCUGAAUCUUUGGAAUUACAAGAGACAUGAGAACAGGGCUUCUCAUCGAGGUUAUGUUUUCCCAUGUCCACUAUUAAAUAGUUUUUUCUAUCAUGAAAGCAAACAUAGGAAGAAACCAACAUAUCUGAGAUCCAUAAAGGUGAACCCCUACCCCCUUUUUUCAAAACUUCAUUUUGUGCAGAAAGGCAACAUUAAAAACUUUUCCUCCAUAUAUUCUGUCUACGAAAGCUCUAUAAAGAUGAGAAAUAUGAUAUAGUUAUGCAGCUCUUCUAUGUUAGGGACAUAGCAUGUGCAUGUCGGCAUUUAGCUGCUGUCAGUAUUUUCGCUGCAGGGAUAUUCAGCAGGAACGAGAAUCAGCACCCAGAACCUGGUUGCCACAACACAAGGAUACACUGUUCUUCUCAGUCCUAGAGAUGUCGACUUGCCUUGCAUCCAGCUUUUCUUAGGUGUGGCCAGUGGUGGCUUGUUAGCGGGCCUGAUACCUGAUGUUCUGAUCAGUCUGUCUGAAACUGUCUUCUUCCUUCUAUAUUAGGAGAAGAUACAUUUUGAAUGUUUCAUCAGUAAUCAAAUAACCAACAUGUGGGAUAUACAGGACAUAAGGGAACUAACAAUCAAACACCAGUUACUGAAUACUCCAUGACACCCGUGGAAUGCGGCCAGGAAACGUGAAGCGUAUGACGGAUAGUACGCAAAAGAGAAAUAACUGAGAAGUCACAGAGUUAAGGCAAGUUUUAAGUCUCCUUUAAAUGCCUUGGAGCAAAACAGGCCAAUUACAGCUUUUGUUUGAAUGAAUCCAUCCAGUAGGAACUUCUGUCAAUAUGCAGGGAAAUCUACAUCAUUGCUACUCAAAGUGUGGUCCACAGACCAGCAGCAUCAGCAUCAGCAUCACCGAAGACCUUUUUAGAAAUAUAGACUCUUGGGGCCCAUUCCACACCUACUGAAUCAGAAGUUGCAUUUUAGCAAGGUCUGCAGGUAAUUGAGAAACACUGAUUUAGGUCAUGGUUAGAAUUAAGACUACUUUAUCUGUUUUAGUUCAGCUGCUUCAGGUUUUGAAUGCUGGAGUCCUUCCUCCUUGCCUCCCCCGCCCCCUUCUUGUUCUUCAUUUUCAUGAAACAUUUGGGAGAACAUUGCUAAAGAAAAAAGUUUCAAAUUUUUUUGAGACAACAGAAGAAAAAGAGCACCACUUUAUAACUUUGUCCAACUCCAAAUUGAGAUUCAAUGAAAGGGAAAAUAUAAAAUAGCUCCAGUCGUUUGCAUACAAUAUAUGGCUUGAACUUUGUUCUGUAUAAGGCUUUGUCUCCAAAUAAAACAAUUGUAUGAAAAACCCCACUAACUUCAUCUUCUUUAAUUUUCUGUGGUCUCUCCGUCCCUUCCAGCUGUGAAAUGCCUAUUUUCUUUUCCUCAGUCUCUUUCUCUCAUGCCUCCCCUCGCUCGCCCCCUCUUCCAGCUGGUAACAGUUUAUGAAGCAUGUUGCAGUGUUAAUACCGUGUUAAGGUGCUUUCAGCUGUUGGGUCUUUGAGACGUCAACGUCAGGACUGUUUUACUGUGAACGCUUGGCGGGUAGGGUAAAUCUGGGGACAUGCUGAACUUCUAGCUCCUCACCCUGUAGGAAGCCUUACAGCUAUAGGCACCUCUCCCAUAAUGCAGUGUUGCUGGCUGGGUAUUUUAUUUGGAAGGUGGUUCUAGGGAGCAGAAGUAAAGGAGCAGAAGGAACGAGAAUGAGCAGAAGGACAAGCCAGUCUCAGAGUGUGUUACUGACAUCACUGCUACAAACAAGGGAGCCUUGGCUGCACCAGGACCUCCAUGGAAGCACACGAAUGCUUCCCAGAAAAGAGGUCCAUCCAUGUUGCUGCAAAUGGCAAGAUUUCAUUCUUUUUAAUGGGUCAUGAAACAUAUGGCCUAUAAAAUCAUUCCCAUUGGGAAAGAAUGGCAGAAAAGUCAUCCUCCUUUGAAGAUAAGUUUAAUUAAAAAGUAAAUUCCAGGGGCUGGCCUGGUGGUGAAGCACGUUCCGCUUCAGCAGCCUGGGGUUCGCCGGUUUGGAUCCCAGGUGCUGACCUAUACACCGCUUGUCAAGCCAUGCCGUGGCAGGCGUCCCACAUGUAAAGAAGAGGAAGAUGGGCAUGGAUGUUAGCUCAGGGCCAGUCUUCCUCAGCAAAAAGAGGAGGAUUAGUGGCAGAUGUUAGCUCAGGGCUAAUCUUCCUCAAAAAAAAAAAAAAAAAAAGUAAAUUCCAUCCUCUCAACAUCACAUCAGUGAUUGCUGCACAAUAACAUUGUUCAUAGCAAAAUUCCUGAUUGUUACUCAUUUUGUUUUUUAAAGCAAAUGCUGUCAUUGAGGAUUAAAAAUGUUUUUUUCAAUUAUACAAAUACAAAAAUGUUUAUUUUUAACUCAUCUAUAACAUUUUACAUGUACUUUUAAAUAGUUGUUUAAAAUAGUUGGAAAUAGGAUUUCUAAAUUAAUCAUUGUUUUAAAUAGUUUGGAUUAAGAUUUCUGAAUACUGGAUCUCCUGUGAAAUGAGGGAGUGGAGGGCAGAAUGUUUAUAAUAAAGUGCUUUACAUACUAAUCAUCUAGAAUGGGAUAGAAUAAACUGUUUCAAAUAUCCUUCCAGUUGUAAUGAUAGGAUGUUUUUAGGUAAAUUUACAGAAUUUGUUUUAUUUUACAAAUUGAUUGGUGUAUUCAUCAUUCACAGAUUUAUUAGUGAAAGCUGGAUUCUAAAUGACUUUCCUAUGAUAAGCUUUCCAAUUAAUUCUUCUCACACUGUUUUCCUGGUGACACUUGAACUUCCUUCAUUAUAUAAAACACAUCUGGAGUGAGACAUUGCUGAAUAAUAAUCAUGGAUGCUAACGUGUUAAGUAUUGGACCCCUGACAUAGUCAAAUGUGUUCUGGUUUAAAACAAUGACCUCAACUAAUGCUGCUUUAAGCGAACCACAUUUAGCAAGAAUAUAUAGGCAUGUCUGUUGAGCUCGCCUGUCUUGCGCUAGAAUUGGUCAAAAAGAGAGAAAUCAAAUUGCAAACUGUCUCCUUUGUGUAAUAGAGUUGGCUAUAUUAAGUCAUAUUUUUCCUCUCAUCAGCAAAUAUUUUUUCUUCUCUCUUGUCUUAUAUGAAAAAUAUUGCAAUAAGUAAAUAUUAAAAAAGGAUUAUCUAAAACAUAUGUUAAAUUAUGUAUUACUUAAAAUUUACAUUUGUAUCAUAGGGUUACUGAAUUUUUUCUGUGGUGUAUUUCAUAAAAGAGAAGAUGCUGAUAAGAUCUUGUUUAAAUGGCUUGCUAAUACAAGAAGCAGAUCAUUUAAAAUGAAACUUACAUCUUUAUAGGAUGUUAGAAAUGAAGACAUUACUUCAAAAUGUAGGUAAUUAUUGCCUCCUCUUUUAUCAGUGCUAUUUUCUGAGGUAUUAUCAUAAGAGAGCACUUUAGUAUUAAACACAGCCUUCGAGUGGCUAUAAAUCAGGCCAACUGAGUCAUCAUUGUCUAAGGCAUCUGAACUACUGCAAUGUUGUGGAUCCUACCGAGAGUGUGAAAUCACUUGACCCUUGGCAUUAACCUUCGCUGAAUGAAUAGACACUGCUUUCCACAUUGAGGAACAAAGCAGAAGACUAUUGAUUAAACACCACAUUCACUUGAUAUUAAAUACCGGCUGAACUCACUUCUUGCUUCCAGUUCCAGAGGGAGAAACCCAGAGAGUUGCUGAGUCUCAGGAGAAUGGAUGUUUGUAAUUCAGAGCAAUGUUUUUCCUGCAAAGUACUUUUUUUCUCCUUUGAUCAAUACCUAGCAGCCAUGAUCAGCCAUGAGUAUGUAUUGUCAAUUCUGACCUGUGUAUUUUAUCACUUAAGGUGAGAGGUCACAGUGCUGUGACUAAUAUUUCAGUUCUCAGCAUGAAUUGUUUCCUGACUUCAAUAUCUGUGUGAAGCAGCCAUUUCUUUCAUUUCAUUUCUUGUUUAUGAAUCAUUUUUUUUGACAGUUGAUUUGCCUGCAUUAAUAAAACACAUUAUUUAAAACAAAUUUUUUUAAUCACUGUUUUUGCAGAUGGUGAAUUUUCUAGAACUUGACAUUAUUAGAAGAAAUCAUAAUCACAGGACGUUUUAUGAUUUAUGGUUUAUGUUAUUUGGGAAAGAGAAACAUAGUUCAAUAAAUUUCUCAAGUUAGAAGAAAGCAAAAGCUUUGGAAGAGAGUACAGUGAUGCUUAUGAGUGUAAAGGGAACAAUAAAAGAUAUUUUACAGGAAGUCUUAAGCUAAUUGUCCUCUGAUCCACUGCUUGUACCUACACUAUUGACAACAGUUUGACAGCUUCUUGGUAGACUUACUUUAUCCAGAAGGUGAACAUUUAUUGUUGACAUAUAAAUUAAUUCAAUUCAUAGAACUAGAAUUAAGUUUAAAAUUUUAGCCACAAACAAGAAAAGCAUUUACACCUUAAAUUUAAAUAGUUUCUAUGUGCUUAUAAACUGGAAUUACUUUAUUGCAGGAAGCAACAGAAAUAGCUACAAUUUCUUUCUUCUCUCUCAAAGUUUUCAUAUUAUUUUGGAACAAAUAAUUACAUAUUAUCUGGCCUGGAUAUUGCACGA
Molecule: long non-coding RNA, 5318 nt
Organism: Equus caballus (horse)
Lineage: Eukaryota; Metazoa; Chordata; Mammalia; Perissodactyla; Equidae
Source: Ensembl